RNAcentral lists this ribosomal RNA (1414 nucleotides) under Streptomyces recifensis. Its description in RNAcentral is "bacterial SSU rRNA". It matches the Rfam family "Bacterial small subunit ribosomal RNA". The record is from RNAcentral. Lineage: Bacteria; Bacillati; Actinomycetota; Actinomycetes; Kitasatosporales; Streptomycetaceae.
GGCUCAGGACGAACGCUGGCGGCGUGCUUAACACAUGCAAGUCGAACGAUGAACCACUUCGGUGGGGAUUAGUGGCGAACGGGUGAGUAACACGUGGGCAAUCUGCCCUUCACUCUGGGACAAGCCCUGGAAACGGGGUCUAAUACCGGAUAACACUGCGGAUCGCAUGGUCUGCGGUUAAAAGCUCCGGCGGUGAAGGAUGAGCCCGCGGCCUAUCAGCUUGUUGGUGAGGUAAUGGCUCACCAAGGCGACGACGGGUAGCCGGCCUGAGAGGGCGACCGGCCACACUGGGACUGAGACACGGCCCAGACUCCUACGGGAGGCAGCAGUGGGGAAUAUUGCACAAUGGGCGAAAGCCUGAUGCAGCGACGCCGCGUGAGGGAUGACGGCCUUCGGGUUGUAAACCUCUUUCAGCAGGGAAGAAGCGAAAGUGACGGUACCUGCAGAAGAAGCGCCGGCUAACUACGUGCCAGCAGCCGCGGUAAUACGUAGGGCGCAAGCGUUGUCCGGAAUUAUUGGGCGUAAAGAGCUCGUAGGCGGCUUGUCACGUCGAUUGUGAAAGCCCGAGGCUUAACCUCGGGUCUGCAGUCGAUACGGGCUAGCUAGAGUGUGGUAGGGGAGAUCGGAAUUCCUGGUGUAGCGGUGAAAUGCGCAGAUAUCAGGAGGAACACCGGUGGCGAAGGCGGAUCUCUGGGCCAUUACUGACGCUGAGGAGCGAAAGCGUGGGGAGCGAACAGGAUUAGAUACCCUGGUAGUCCACGCCGUAAACGGUGGGAACUAGGUGUUGGCGACAUUCCACGUCGUCGGUGCCGCAGCUAACGCAUUAAGUUCCCCGCCUGGGGAGUACGGCCGCAAGGCUAAAACUCAGAGGAAUUGACGGGGGCCCGCACAAGCAGCGGAGCAUGUGGCUUAAUUCGACGCAACGCGAAGAACCUUACCAAGGCUUGACAUACACCGGAAAGCAUCAGAGAUGGUGCCCCCCUUGUGGUCGGUGUACAGGUGGUGCAUGGCUGUCGUCAGCUCGUGUCGUGAGAUGUUGGGUUAAGUCCCGCAACGAGCGCAACCCUUGUUCUGUGUUGCCAGCAUGCCCUUCGGGGUGAUGGGGACUCACAGGAGACUGCCGGGGUCAACUCGGAGGAAGGUGGGGACGACGUCAAGUCAUCAUGCCCCUUAUGUCUUGGGCUGCACACGUGCUACAAUGGCAGGUACAAUGAGCUGCGAAACCGUGAGGUAGAGCGAAUCUCAAAAAGCCUGUCUCAGUUCGGAUUGGGGUCUGCAACUCGACCCCAUGAAGUCGGAGUUGCUAGUAAUCGCAGAUCAGCAUUGCUGCGGUGAAUACGUUCCCGGGCCUUGUACACACCGCCCGUCACGUCACGAAAGUCGGUAACACCCGAAGCCGGUGGCCCAACCCCUU